AAAAAAAAAGAGAGAAGUCUAUAUAAUAGACAAAACUUGAAUCACAAUAAAAUAUAUCUUCAGAGAUUUGCGCUUGAAAUGACUUUAAUUUGGCUCAACAGCUACUAGUAAAAGAGAGGAGCCAGAAGCCUCUGCUAGCAAGUGUUUAGUGGAAUGAUAUGCUUAACUAAAUAAGUGAGUGUGGGCGGCAGCUGAGUGACCGUGACCGUGCUUUCUGCUUUUUCGUAAGCUGGUGAGAGAAGGCAAAUUGCUAUGGUAACGGUAGGAGUCGAAACUCGAAGAAGAAGGAGAAGAAAGGGUUGGGAGCAGUUAUGUGCCCUUAGGCAUGAGAAUGUUCUUCGUAGCCAAUCACAAUCCGCAACAGUGAAGUAACCCCUUUGAAGCUACAAGAGGGGCGAUUCAUGACGUGACCCUUGAUGUGUCUGCAUUUGU
Molecule: long non-coding RNA, 432 nt
Organism: Glycine soja
Lineage: Eukaryota; Viridiplantae; Streptophyta; Magnoliopsida; Fabales; Fabaceae
Exons: 3
Source: RefSeq, a predicted model, not a curated record